This 443-nucleotide ribosomal RNA is filed under the name Festuca bromoides. RNAcentral's name for it is "eukaryotic LSU rRNA". The stretch from base 303 to 443 matches the Rfam family "Eukaryotic large subunit ribosomal RNA", at positions 1 to 141 of the family's 3401-position model. Lineage: Eukaryota; Viridiplantae; Streptophyta; Magnoliopsida; Poales; Poaceae. The record is from RNAcentral.
UGCAGAAUCCCGCGAACCAUCGAGUCUUUGAACGCAAGUUGCGCCCGAGGCCUUUUGGCCGAGGGCACGCCUGCCUGGGCGUCACGCCAAACACGCUCCCACCCAACUAAACAUGGUGUGGGAUGCGGCAUGUGGCUCCCCGUCUCGCAAGGGGCGGUGGGCCGAAGAUCCGGCUGCCGGCGUAUCGUGCCGGACACAGCGCGUGGUAGGCGAUCUCGCUAUACUAAACGCAGUGCAUCCGGGGUGUAGCCGACGCAAUGCCCUCAUGGACCCUCACAACGGAGCGCACGACGCUUCUACCGCGACCCCAGGUCAGGCGGGACUACCCGCUGAAUUUAAGCAUAUAAAUAAGCGGAGGAGAAGAAACUUACAAGGAUUCCCCUAGUAACGGCGAGCGAACCGGGAACAGCCCAGCUUGAGAAUCGGGUGGCUGUGCCGUCCGA